GACGAACGCUGGCGGUGUGCUUAACACAUGCAAGUCGAACGGUAAGGCCCUUUCGGGGGUCCACGAGUGGCGAACGGGUGCGUAACACGUGAGUAACCUGCCCUCAUCUCUGGGAUAACAGUCGGAAACGGUUGCUAAUACUGGAUAUGAGCUUGCAAGGCAUCUUGUGGGUUGGAAAGAUUUUUUUUGGUUGGGGAUGGACUCGCGGCCUAUCGGCUUGUUGGUGAGGUAGUGGCUCACCAAGGCUUCGACGGGUAGCCGGCCUGAGAGGGCGACCGGCCACAUUGGGACUGAGAUACGGCCCAAACUCCUACGGGAGGCAGCAGUGGGGAAUAUUGCACAAUGGGCGGAAGUCUGAUGCAGCAACGCCGCGUGCGGGAUGACGGCCUUCGGGUUGUAAACCGCUGUCAAUUGUGACGAAGCGUUUUUGUGACGGUAGCAGUAGAAGAAGCACCGGCUAACUACGUG
This 468-nucleotide ribosomal RNA is filed under the name uncultured bacterium. Its description in RNAcentral is "partial 16S ribosomal RNA". It matches the Rfam family "Bacterial small subunit ribosomal RNA", at positions 28 to 507 of the family's 1533-position model. The record is from RNAcentral.